Molecule: ribosomal RNA, 1373 nt
Filed under: uncultured bacterium
Lineage: Bacteria
Description: 16S ribosomal RNA
Rfam family: Bacterial small subunit ribosomal RNA
Source: RNAcentral
UGAACGCUGGCGGCAGGCCUAACACAUGCAAGUCGAACGGUAACAGGAAGCAGCUUGCUGCUUCGCUGACGAGUGGCGGACGGGUGAGUAAUGUCUGGGAAACUGCCUGAUGGAGGGGGAUAACUACUGGAAACGGUAGCUAAUACCGCAUAACGUCGCAAGACCAAAGAGGGGGACCUUCGGGCCUCUUGCCAUCGGAUGUGCCCAGAUGGGAUUAGCUAGUAGGUGGGGUAACGGCUCACCUAGGCGACGAUCCCUAGCUGGUCUGAGAGGAUGACCAGCCACACUGGAACUGAGACACGGUCCAGACUCCUACGGGAGGCAGCAGUGGGGAAUAUUGCACAAUGGGCGCAAGCCUGAUGCAGCCAUGCCGCGUGUAUGAAGAAGGCCUUCGGGUUGUAAAGUACUUUCAGCGGGGAGGAAGGUGUUGAGGUUAAUAACCUCAGCAAUUGACGUUACCCGCAGAAGAAGCACCGGCUAACUCCGUGCCAGCAGCCGCGGUAAUACGGAGGGUGCAAGCGUUAAUCGGAAUUACUGGGCGUAAAGCGCACGCAGGCGGUCUGUCAAGUCGGAUGUGAAAUCCCCGGGCUCAACCUGGGAACUGCAUUCGAAACUGGCAGGCUAGAGUCUUGUAGAGGGGGGUAGAAUUCCAGGUGUAGCGGUGAAAUGCGUAGAGAUCUGGAGGAAUACCGGUGGCGAAGGCGGCCCCCUGGACAAAGACUGACGCUCAGGUGCGAAAGCGUGGGGAGCAAACAGGAUUAGAUACCCUGGUAGUCCACGCCGUAAACGAUGUCGACUUGGAGGUUGUGCCCUUGAGGCGUGGCUUCCGGAGCUAACGCGUUAAGUCGACCGCCUGGGGAGUACGGCCGCAAGGUUAAAACUCAAAUGAAUUGACGGGGGCCCGCACAAGCGGUGGAGCAUGUGGUUUAAUUCGAUGCAACGCGAAGAACCUUACCUACUCUUGACAUCCAGAGAACUUAGCAGAGAUGCUUUGGUGCCUUCGGGAACUCUGAGACAGGUGCUGCAUGGCUGUCGUCAGCUCGUGUUGUGAAAUGUUGGGUUAAGUCCCGCAACGAGCGCAACCCUUAUCCUUUGUUGCCAGCGGUCCGGCCGGGAACUCAAAGGAGACUGCCAGUGAUAAACUGGAGGAAGGUGGGGAUGACGUCCAGUCAUCAUGGCCCUUACGAGUAGGGCUACACACGUGCUACAAUGGCGCAUACAAAGAGAAGCGACCUCGCGAGAGCAAGCGGACCUCAUAAAGUGCGUCGUAGUCCGGAUUGGAGUCUGCAACUCGACUCCAUGAAGUCGGAAUCGCUAGUAAUCGUGGAUCAGAAUGCCACGGUGAAUACGUUCCCGGGCCUUGCACACACCGC